UACUGUCUUUUCUGGGUGAAUAGUUCGAGC
RNAcentral lists this non-coding RNA (30 nucleotides) under Homo sapiens (human). The record is from RNAcentral. Lineage: Eukaryota; Metazoa; Chordata; Mammalia; Primates; Hominidae.